This 253-nucleotide ribosomal RNA is filed under the name uncultured bacterium. RNAcentral's name for it is "partial 16S ribosomal RNA". It matches the Rfam family "Bacterial small subunit ribosomal RNA", at positions 524 to 776 of the family's 1533-position model. The record is from RNAcentral.
GACAGAGGGUGCAACCGUUGUUCGGAAUUACUGGGCGUAAAGCGCAUGUAGGCGGCUCGGAAAGUCGGAUGUGAAAGCCCAGGGCUCAACCCUGGAAGUGCACUCGAAACUCCCGAGCUGGAGUCCCGGAGAGGAAGGCGGAAUUCUCGGUGUAGAGGUGAAAUUCGUAGAUAUCGAGAGGAACACCUGUGGCGAAGGCGGCCUUCUGGACGGUGACUGACGCUGAGAUGCGAAAGCGUGGGGAGCAAACAGG